CUUUUUAUUUUAUUUUUCUUUU
Molecule: small RNA, 22 nt
Filed under: Arabidopsis thaliana (thale cress)
Lineage: Eukaryota; Viridiplantae; Streptophyta; Magnoliopsida; Brassicales; Brassicaceae
Description: ATSL252450
Source: RNAcentral